Molecule: long non-coding RNA, 1015 nt
Filed under: Equus caballus (horse)
Lineage: Eukaryota; Metazoa; Chordata; Mammalia; Perissodactyla; Equidae
Description: lncRNA (ENSECAG00000052239.1)
Source: RNAcentral
CGCCUCUCGACGCUUCUGUGCAGGCGCCGCUGGAGGCGUGUGUGGGGCUCCUGACCCGGCGAGAGGGGCCGCGCUGAGGGGGCUUCGCCACUGGCCCUGGAGGACAGGACCGGAAGAGGCUGAUGUUGACGGGCAGAGCCAAAGGAAGUCUCUACGGCGGCCCAACCCCAGGAUCCUGAGAUUAAAGGUCUCAAACCCUAAAGUCUUAACGGACGAGGGUUGGGAGUUGACUCGAUCUCCACGCCUUUAUCAGGAGAUUCGUUUGCCAAGAUCAGAGACUAAGAAAGAGAAAAGAUUGUGUGGACUAAAGUCCGCAAUUAACCAGAGAGGAAACACGAUUUUGUGCCAGAUUGGACGUGCGGUGUGAGAGAAAGGCCGGCGUCAAGUCUUUUGGCCUGAGCCUGCCAUCAACUAAGAUUUCAUCUCUAGAAGUUGGAUUUUGGUCUUGUGAUAUCUUCCACCUCUCCACUUUACUGAGAAUCCACUAUCCUCCAUGGAGACAGGCACCAUCAAGGACAAGCACCUGGAUCAUCUCCACCCCACAAAGAGAUACAGGCUGGUGGGAAAGCUGCUGACCAGCAAGGGCAUAUGCUCCCCCUCCCCUAUCUAAAACCCCUAUCUAAAACUCCUUUUAGCUUUUUGGGGAGUUUGGGAUUUCAGCGUUAGCUGCCCUCUCUCCUUACUCAGCGCUGUGCAAAAAUAAAAUUCCUGCUUUCUUUCACCACUACCGGUGUCAGAGAUUGGCUUGCUGUUCCAUAACACUGUGAUGCAGGAACAAAAUCAAAAUGCAGUGAUUUGCUAUCUUGAGGAUGAUGGAAAAUGUAUGCAAAAGCAGACAGACUGAGAUUUAUAAUGGUUUGAUUAGUAAAAAGCUUAGGAAGGAACCUCAAGGGCACACAGGACAAUUAGACAAUGGGCUUAACGAGUAUAUUCACGAUGACAAAAAAAAAGUGGGAUUAAGGGAAGAGGAAAUGGACAAAGUCAUUCCACAUUGAAACAAUCUAUAAAAGACAAA